AGUGAACGCUGGCGGUAGGCCUAACACAUGCAAGUCGAACGGCAGCACAGUAAGAGCUUGCUCUUACGGGUGGCGAGUGGCGGACGGGUGAGGAAUACAUCGGAAUCUACUUUUUCGUGGGGGAUAACGUAGGGAAACUUACGCUAAUACCGCAUACGACCUACGGGUGAAAGCAGGGGAUCUUCGGACCUUGCGCGAUUGAAUGAGCCGAUGUCGGAUUAGCUAGUUGGCGGGGUAAAGGCCCACCAAGGCGACGAUCCGUAGCUGGUCUGAGAGGAUGAUCAGCCACACUGGAACUGAGACACGGUCCAGACUCCUACGGGAGGCAGCAGUGGGGAAUAUUGGACAAUGGGCGCAAGCCUGAUCCAGCCAUACCGCGUGGGUGAAGAAGGCCUGCGGGUUGUAAAGCCCUUUUGUUGGGAAAGAAAAGCAGCAGGUUAAUACCCCGCUGUUCCGACGGUACCCAAAGAAUAAGCACCGGCUAACUUCGU
Molecule: ribosomal RNA, 491 nt
Filed under: uncultured bacterium
Lineage: Bacteria
Description: partial 16S ribosomal RNA
Rfam family: Bacterial small subunit ribosomal RNA
Source: RNAcentral